CUUCGUUAGGGAAUUAGGACGUAAGGAGAGAAGGCAGCAGGGAGGAAACGAGCCCGGGGAGCCGCCGCCGGGGGAGUUUGGGGGCUCUGCCCUGGCCCUGCCUGCUCUCGGGAAGGACUUUCAUCUCCCCGUGUCAAGCUGUGCAGUCAGGAAGACCAAAGGCAGAGGAUGUGAGCAGUGGUCAUCCCUGAAGGGCCAGGGCGCAGAGCAGCAUCUUCUGGUUUUAAUUAAAAACCAUCCGCUGGCAAAGUU
Molecule: non-coding RNA, 252 nt
Organism: Lonchura striata (white-rumped munia)
Lineage: Eukaryota; Metazoa; Chordata; Aves; Passeriformes; Estrildidae
Source: RefSeq, a predicted model, not a curated record